GACAGGUGCCCCAAGGCUGCUUUCUUGCGGUCAAAGGGUUAAACGGGAAGCAGGUGCGCGUCUUCAGGCCAUGCCGCAACGGCAUGCGCCCGGGCCGCAAAGCCUGCGCUGCCCCCGCAACGGUCAGCGGAAACCAAACCCCGACAGCCAGCGCGCCCCUCGCGCGCGGCAGCCACUGCGCUUCUUGCCCUGAGCCAUUCAGGGCUGGCGCGGGAAGGCCGGGGCCUCGCAGCAAGCCAGGCGCGCCUUCGCCAGAAGCCGCGUGCCGCCUGCGGCGGUCCGCAAGCCCGGAUACCGGCCUGCCCUCAAGCCUUUCC
This is a non-coding RNA of Ottowia sp. oral taxon 894, 317 nucleotides long. Lineage: Bacteria; Pseudomonadati; Pseudomonadota; Betaproteobacteria; Burkholderiales; Comamonadaceae. The record is from Rfam.